This 461-nucleotide ribosomal RNA is filed under the name uncultured bacterium. Its description in RNAcentral is "partial 16S ribosomal RNA". It matches the Rfam family "Bacterial small subunit ribosomal RNA", at positions 355 to 832 of the family's 1533-position model. The record is from RNAcentral.
UGGGGAAUAUUGCACAAUGGGCGAAAGCCUGAUGCAGCAACGCCGCGUGAGUGAUGAAGGUCUUCGGAUUGUAAAGCUCUGUCUUUUGGGACGAUAAUGACGGUACCAAAGGAGGAAGCCACGGCUAACUACGUGCCAGCAGCCGCGGUAAUACGUAGGUGGCGAGCGUUGUCCGGAUUUACUGGGCGUAAAGGGUGCGUAGGCGGAUGUUUAAGUGAGAUGUGAAAUACCCGGGCUUAACUUGGGUGCUGCAUUUCAAACUGGAUAUCUAGAGUGCAGGAGAGGAGAAUGGAAUUCCUAGUGUAGCGGUGAAAUGCGUAGAGAUUAGGAAGAACACCAGUGGCGAAGGCGAUUCUCUGGACUGUAACUGACGCUGAGGCACGAAAGCGUGGGUAGCAAACAGGAUUAGAUACCCUGGUAGUCCACGCCGUAAAACGAUGAGUACUAGGUGUAGGAGGUAU